UUCACCUUGACCAAUCUGCAUUGUUGGACAACAGACAGCUACGGCGCGGCCUCCGUAGACAGCAGCACUCCUGACAUGACUGCUCACGAAACAAACCGACAUGGAGGAGGACCUUAAAACUUUUCUUCAGUCAAGGCAUGUUCCAGAAGAGGACAUUAAACAAAUGAAAGUGGAUAAGAUUGACAGAAGGGUCAUUUGUUUUAUGACAGAUGAAGAAAGGGCAAAGUAUAUCCCUUCAUAUGGUGACCGCUUGGCUGUUGUCUCAUUUUGUAGACAGAGGGAAGCAAAUUUCAACAAGGAAGGAGUUUUAAAUAGAGUUCGACAAAAGAUUGAGGCAAGACGGACAAAAAGGAAAACACCUCCUGGGGAACGACAGCAAACAUCUGUGGAAAGUUCUGGUCUAAUGGCAAGACAUAAAAACACAAAUGCAGUAAAAUCCAAGCGAAGAAUUGAAGUGGGGUGGCUGCACUUUCAAUAUGAUGAUUUUUAUCAAGUAAGGUCAAAAAUGGAGGCGGGACCAGGCAUCUGACACUAAAAAAAUACACCAGUGUUCCAGAGAUUAGGCAAAUUGCAAAGAAUUAGGUUUUUCCUGAUGGCUUGUCACCAGAGGGACCCAUUACAGACUUCACAUGUGCGACUUCAAAAAACAAACUGUACCUCUGGAAUCUACACUUGUGGAAUUGUAUGAACAAUGUAAACUUAAAAUGUUGAGGCUUUACCUUUGCACCAAAGAUUCUGUGCCUUCUUCAGAUUCAUCAGGGGACCAAGAGCUGUUUGAACAGUCUCAUAACAAAGACAGAACAUCUACUCAACAGAACAGACUUUCUGUCCCUUUUGCUGAGACCUCAGCUUCAAAAUACACUUUCAAGGCCCUACACC
Long non-coding RNA from Girardinichthys multiradiatus, 879 nucleotides. RefSeq lists it as uncharacterized. The record is from RefSeq and is a predicted model, not a curated record. The transcript has 4 exons. Lineage: Eukaryota; Metazoa; Chordata; Actinopteri; Cyprinodontiformes; Goodeidae.